RNAcentral lists this transfer RNA (67 nucleotides) under Synalpheus microneptunus. Its description in RNAcentral is "tRNA-Tyr". It matches the Rfam family "tRNA". From Rfam's summary of the family: Transfer RNA (tRNA) molecules are approximately 80 nucleotides in length. Their secondary structure includes four short double-helical elements and three loops (D, anti-codon, and T loops). The record is from RNAcentral. Lineage: Eukaryota; Metazoa; Arthropoda; Malacostraca; Decapoda; Alpheidae.
AGGGGGAUGGCUGAGAUGUUAGGCGAUAGAUUGUAAAUCUAUUUACGGAACGUUGUUUCUUUCCUUA